UACGGAGGGUGCAAGCGUUAUCCGGAUUCACUGGGUUUAAAGGGUGCGUAGGUGGGUCUGUAAGUCAGUGGUGAAAUCUCCGUGCUUAACAUGGAAACUGCCAUUGAUACUAUAGGUCUUGAAUUUUCUGGAGGUUAGCGGAAUAUGUCAUGUAGCGGUGAAAUGCUUAGAUAUGACAUAGAACACCAAUUGCGAAGGCAGCUAACUACGGGAACAUUGACACUGAGGCACGAAAGCGUGGGGAUCAAACAGG
RNAcentral lists this ribosomal RNA (253 nucleotides) under uncultured bacterium. RNAcentral describes it as "partial 16S ribosomal RNA". It matches the Rfam family "Bacterial small subunit ribosomal RNA", at positions 524 to 776 of the family's 1533-position model. The record is from RNAcentral.